This 637-nucleotide ribosomal RNA is filed under the name uncultured bacterium. RNAcentral's name for it is "bacterial SSU rRNA". The stretch from base 1 to 516 matches the Rfam family "Bacterial small subunit ribosomal RNA", at positions 338 to 873 of the family's 1533-position model. The record is from RNAcentral.
CCUACGGGAGGCAGCAGUGAGGAAUUUUCCGCAAUGGGCGAAAGCCUGACGGAGCAAUGCCGCGUGGAGGAGGAAGGCCUGUGGGUCGUAAACUCCUUUUCUCAGAGAAGAAGUUCUGACGGUAUCUGAGGAAUAAGCAUCGGCUAACUCUGUGCCAGCAGCCGCGGUAAUACAGGGGAUGCAAGCGUUAUCCGGAAUUAUUGGGCGUAAAGCGUCCUGAGGUGGCUUACCCAGUCGACUGUGAAAGCUCAAGGCUUAACCUUGAAACGGCAGUCGAAACUUGUAAGCUUGAGUACGGUAGGGGCAGAGGGAAUUCCCGGAGGAGAGGUGAAAUUCGUAGAUAUCGGGAGGAAGGCCAAAGGCGAAAGCACUCUGCUGGGCCGAUUACUGACACUGACAGACGAAAGCUAGGGGAGCGAAAGGGAUUAGAUACCCCUGUAGUCCUAGCCGUAAACGAUGGAUACUAGUAGUUGUCGCGACUACAAACGUAGCAGUGCUGCAGACGUAACCGGUACCGGGUAACGGUUAACGUUACCCCGGUCCCGGUCGGGGGUAGGGUAGUUCGGCCCGGCCGAACGGGGUAGGAAACCGUAACGAAACGUAAGUAAGUUAGGUUACGGCGUGGUUAGUUACGUCG